GGAAGUCAUCCCUUUUCUCUUGCUGUUCCUCAUCCUCUCUGUGGAGCCACCAUGUGAGCCCAAGAAGACAGGAUGCCUUCCACCAGUGUCCACCAUAAGGUUUGGACUCAACUCCACACUUCAGACUAACUGGAAUUCACCCUGACCUCAGAGCCACAGCAGGAAGAUGAGGCCCUUUCAUGACAACACUCACUGCACAGUUAACCUUCCUAAGAGGGAAACACAGAAUGGAAAAAUUGGAGCCCAGUGAAACCAGGGUGAAAAGCAUGGAGGAAUGAGAGACCACUAAGUGGUCUUGGUCCUGAGAGCCUGUAUCCAGGGCAGAGUGGAAGACUAUACCUGUGGGAGAGGAGACAGCUGCUGCUGAUUUCCCUCAUUUCCCAUGGCUGGUUACCAAGAAGAAAUGUGAGCUCCCGGCUGCCAGGCCUGCUGGAGUUUUCAAAGGAUGCCCUUGGUGUGCAAUUUAUAUUACAUCGCCCACAUUUGAGAUGUUGAACACCCAUUUAGAAAAUAGUUUUGAUAGUGUGAGCAAGCCAAGCUCAAAUGAAGUUCACCCACUUGGAACCUUUGGUAAACAAUCUUUUUUAGGUGGUUACAUCCAUGAGCUCAUACACGUUCUACAGAUCCUCCAAACCAAGAACCAAAACCAAGAAAUGGUAUAUGAGAAGAACAAAGUCGACGCUCAAAAUGUGACCUUUGCUGUGGGUCAUCUCUCACCCACUACUACUCUGUGCUCUGGUUUCCUCUCCUAUAUAUAAAAGACUUCCAUUAAAUGGCUAACAAAAUAUUUCCCAUCCAGAAAGUUCAGUAAUGUUAGCACAAUGGCUUUAGAAUAUGUGAAUAAAAAUGAUGUUGUCCUACAUAGAUGUCAUUAAUGAGGACUGUUGUUGGUCUAGGUGGCUGUGCUUUUUUUCUUUGCAUUCCUAUUGUAUUUGUUGAUGUUCUUUGUCAUUGGGCCAUACUCUUAGCCACUGUGUUGUAUUACAAGCAUCUGUGGAAAGAACAAUGCUAUUGAACUAUUUAUCUGCUACUUACAGCAUUUCAAAAAGCAACACAAAAGUCACUUUAG
Molecule: long non-coding RNA, 1069 nt
Filed under: Cricetulus griseus (Chinese hamster)
Lineage: Eukaryota; Metazoa; Chordata; Mammalia; Rodentia; Cricetidae
Description: lncRNA (ENSCGRG00015034728.1)
Source: RNAcentral